AGGACGAACGCUGGCGGCGUGCUUAACACAUGCAAGUCGAGCGGAAAGGCCCUUCGGGGUACUCGAGCGGCGAACGGGUGAGUAACACGUGGGCAACCUGCCCUUAGCUCUGGGAUAGCUCCGGGAAACCGGAAUUAAUACCGGAUAUGACCUAGGCCGACAUCGGCCGUGGUGGAAAGUUUUUCGGCUAGGGAUGGACUCGCGGCCUAUCAGCUAGUUGGUGGGGUAAUGGCCUACCAAGGCGACGACGGGUAGCCGGCCUGAGAGGGCGACCGGCCACACUGGGACUGAGACACGGCCCAGACUCCUACGGGAGGCAGCAGUGGGGAAUCUUGCGCAAUGGGCGAAAGCCUGACGCAGCGACGCCGCGUGGGGGAUGAAGGCCUUCGGGUUGUAAACCCCUUUCAGCAGGACGAAGCGAAAGUGACGGUACCUGCAGAAGAAGCGCCGGCUAACUACGUGCCAGCAGCCGC
RNAcentral lists this ribosomal RNA (473 nucleotides) under uncultured bacterium. RNAcentral's name for it is "SSU rRNA". It matches the Rfam family "Bacterial small subunit ribosomal RNA", at positions 26 to 518 of the family's 1533-position model. The record is from RNAcentral.